AACCCAUUGUUACAUUAUUAGACGGAAAGACCCCAAGAGCUUUUUUUGUGUUAGAUUUGUUUGGGGUAAAUGUAGAUUAUUCAUUUAUUUUUAGAUCCUUCGUGGAUAAAGGAUAAAGUUACCUUGGGGAUAACUGAGUAAAGGGCAGGGAGAGGUCCUAUUGAUCUGUUUAUUACUACCUCGAUGUUGGCUUGUUGAACCUUUUUGGUGUAGAGGCUGGAAAAGGAAGUCUGUUCGACUUUUAAAUCUUCAUGAGUUGAGUUAAGACCGGUGUAAGCCAGGUUGGUUCUUAUCUAUAAUUGGUUCUAGUUAGUACGAAAGGAUUAUUAGGAUACAGUGUUUCUGUACACAUAGGAAUAGAAAGUAUACA
This 370-nucleotide ribosomal RNA is filed under the name Schistosoma mansoni. RNAcentral's name for it is "partial 16S ribosomal RNA". The stretch from base 14 to 300 matches the Rfam family "Bacterial large subunit ribosomal RNA", at positions 2072 to 2648 of the family's 2925-position model. Lineage: Eukaryota; Metazoa; Platyhelminthes; Trematoda; Strigeidida; Schistosomatidae. The record is from RNAcentral.